GACGAACGCUGGCGGCGUGCCUAAUACAUGCAAGUCGAGCGGAUUGAUGGGAGCUUGCUCCCUGAUAUCAGCGGCGGACGGGUGAGUAACACGUGGGCAACCUGCCUAUAAGACUGGGAUAACUUCGGGAAACCGGAGCUAAUACCGGAUAAUCCCUUUCCUCUCAUGAGGAAAGGCUGAAAGAUGGUUUACGCUAUCACUUUUAGAUGGGCCCGCGGCGCAUUAGCUAGUUGGUGAGGUAACGGCUCACCAAGGCAACGAUGCGUAGCCGACCUGAGAGGGUGAUCGGCCACACUGGGACUGAGACACGGCCCAGACUCCUACGGGAGGCAGCAGUAGGGAAUCUUCCGCAAUGGACGAAAGUCUGACGGAGCAACGCCGCGUGAGUGAUGAAGGUUUUCGGAUCGUAAAACUCUGUUGUUAGGGAAGAACAAGUACGAGAGUAACUGCUCGUACCUUGACGGUACCUAACCAGAAAGCCACGGCUAACUACGUGCCAGCAGCCGCAGUAA
Molecule: ribosomal RNA, 512 nt
Filed under: uncultured bacterium
Lineage: Bacteria
Description: partial 16S ribosomal RNA
Rfam family: Bacterial small subunit ribosomal RNA
Source: RNAcentral